GAGCGUUGCGGACGUGUGUUGACCUGAACGCGGGCGUCAAUCGGAUAUUAAAGUGAAAGAAAAAUAAAUUCAAUAAAACUUAAAAACAGCUAAGUAGCAAUUUAAGGAAUUGGACAAAUUGAAAAAAAAAAAAAUUAUAAAAAAUAAGUAAAAGGAAAUAAAUAAAUGAUUAAAAGGAAAUAAAUAAAUAAAAUUAUCUAAAAAAUAGGUGUUUAGCUAAGAACACAAAAAACAAAAACAAUAACAAAUAUACAUUCAACAAAGCGAUUAGCGGCUUGGCGCUUGUGUAAAUUUAUUUGAUUUCAGCCAGCUGUUGAGUACUAAAAAAGUAAAGGGCAAUUAAACGCCGACAAAAGCAAAAACAACCUACAAAAUAGAAGGCCAAGUAAAAGCAAAAUAACAAUAAAAGAAAAAAAA
Molecule: long non-coding RNA, 417 nt
Organism: Anastrepha obliqua
Lineage: Eukaryota; Metazoa; Arthropoda; Insecta; Diptera; Tephritidae
Exons: 2
Source: RefSeq, a predicted model, not a curated record